AACAAAAGAUUUUCUUUCAAUAUUAACAGAUUCAAUACAAGAACCAUUCGAAAAUAUAUAUACUAUCAGGGGCUCUAACACCAAAUCGGAGAAUCAAAUCUAAAACCUAAGGUGACUCUUUCUUUUUUUUUUCUUUACUGUUUUGAGUUUAUUUUCUACAUAAAAAUACUAAAAAAUAUUAAAACAUAAAAAUAUAUGCAUUAUUAAGCAAAAAAAAA
This 218-nucleotide long non-coding RNA is filed under the name Gossypium barbadense (sea-island cotton). Its description in RNAcentral is "long non-coding RNA (GBAR_LNC004693)". The record is from RNAcentral. Lineage: Eukaryota; Viridiplantae; Streptophyta; Magnoliopsida; Malvales; Malvaceae.